GCGAACGCUGGCGGCAGGCCUAACCCAUGCCAGUCGAACGAACCUUUCGGGGUUAGUGGCGGACGGGUGAGUAACACGUGGGAACGUGCCUUUAGGUUCGGAAUAACUCAGGGAAACUUGUGCUAAUACCGAAUGUGCCCUUCGGGGGAAAGAUUAAUCGCCUUUAGAGCGGCCCGCGUCUGAUUAGCUAGUUGGUUGAGGUAAUGGCUCACCAAGGCGACGAUCAGUAGCUGGUCUGAGAGGAUGAUCAGCCACAUUGGGACUGAGACACGGCCCAAACUCCUACGGGAGGCAGCAGUGGGGAAUCUUGCGCAAUGGGCGAAAGCCUGACGCAGCCAUGCCGCGUGAAUGAUGAAGGUCUUAGGAUUGUAAAAUUCUUUCACCGGGGACGAUAAUGACGGUACCCGGAGAAGAAGCCCCGGCUAACUUCGUG
RNAcentral lists this ribosomal RNA (433 nucleotides) under uncultured bacterium. RNAcentral describes it as "partial 16S ribosomal RNA". It matches the Rfam family "Bacterial small subunit ribosomal RNA", at positions 29 to 507 of the family's 1533-position model. The record is from RNAcentral.